RNAcentral lists this ribosomal RNA (442 nucleotides) under uncultured bacterium. RNAcentral's name for it is "partial 16S ribosomal RNA". It matches the Rfam family "Bacterial small subunit ribosomal RNA", at positions 338 to 795 of the family's 1533-position model. The record is from RNAcentral.
CCUACGGGAGGCAGCAGUGGGGAAUAUUGGGCAAUGGGCGCGAGCCUGACCCAGCCACGCCGCGUGAAGGAAGAAGGCUUUCGGGUUGUAAACUUCUUUUGUCAGGGAAGAGUAGAAGACGGUACCUGACGAAUAAGCCACGGCUAACUACGUAGCAGCAGCCGCGGUAAUACGUAGGUGGCAAGCGUUGUCCGGCUUUACUGUGUGUAAAGGGCGUGUAGCCGGGUUGACAAGUCAGAUGUGAAAUCCUGCGGCUGAACCGCAGAACUGCAUUUGAAACUGUUGAUCUUGAGUACUGGAGAGGCAGACGGAAUUCCUAGUGUAGCGGUGAAAUGCGUAGAUAUUAGGAGGAACACCAGUGGCGAAGGCGGUCUGCUGGACAGCAACUGACGGUGAGGCGCGAAAGCGUGGGGAGCAAACAGGAUUAGAUACCCUUGUAGUC